AAGUUAUCAAGAAAGGUGGAGGGAUUAGACCCUUUGAAGCCUUAGCAACCUGCUGUUCCAUACAGAGAAGGUGCUACAUUCUACCCACUCCAAAACAACUUUGGGGAACCAACGGUUCUAGCGAACCUUUAUUUGGGAAGGAUAACAA
RNAcentral lists this non-coding RNA (148 nucleotides) under Croceitalea dokdonensis. RNAcentral's name for it is "SAM-I sequence". It matches the Rfam family "SAM riboswitch aptamer (S box leader)". Rfam says of the family: The SAM riboswitch is found upstream of a number of genes which code for proteins involved in methionine or cysteine biosynthesis in Gram-positive bacteria. Lineage: Bacteria; Pseudomonadati; Bacteroidota; Flavobacteriia; Flavobacteriales; Flavobacteriaceae. RNAcentral also lists the same sequence under 1 other name. The record is from RNAcentral.